UGCAUGGGAGUUCAUUACAGCGAUUAGAAAAACACAAAAUAAUGAUGCACAUAGCAAUGGCAAAACCUUGUCUGAAUGUUUUCCUUCUCUUUGAAAUGGCUUUUCUAGGCCUCAAAGUAAGCAAUCAAAUUACAUGAUUGCUGGAGAGCAGGGAGAGAAAGAAUGCUUGGAGCAAGACAAAAGGAAAACUACUUCUUAAGAAACCAGAGGACAACAUCUUUAGCUAACCACAACUGCAGAACAGCCAUUGAUUUAGGUUCUGCACAGGAGCAACUGUGGCUGCUUGCUGUUUAUCAUCCUGUGAGGGACUGAUGUCUGUUGCCCUGAGCUACAGAAAAAGGCCAAUGAGAAUUAAUUUGACAUCAAAAGAAGAAGAGCCAAGCCAUAUAAGCCUUCAUCAAAGGAGUAAAGCAGACGUGUAAUUGGGUGCUCAGAGUGAGUUAGGAUUCUGCUCACUCACCACAAGGCUGCAGAGGACGGAUCUGCUCAUGUACCCAGCCCUGGAGCGACCAGCACGGGGGGCUCCUACCUGCACCCCUCUCAUUUCCUUACUGCUCCCCACACAAAAGCAAUACAGCCCUUGCAGUGACUUCCCUGAGGUUCCUUAUCAGUGGGAAUAAUUAGUGUGAACACUAAAAGCCCCUCAGUGGGAAUAAAGGGUCAGCCCCACAUCCCCCA
Molecule: long non-coding RNA, 678 nt
Organism: Lonchura striata (white-rumped munia)
Lineage: Eukaryota; Metazoa; Chordata; Aves; Passeriformes; Estrildidae
Source: Ensembl